RNAcentral lists this ribosomal RNA (446 nucleotides) under uncultured bacterium. RNAcentral's name for it is "partial 16S ribosomal RNA". It matches the Rfam family "Bacterial small subunit ribosomal RNA", at positions 338 to 795 of the family's 1533-position model. The record is from RNAcentral.
CCUACGGGGGGCAGCAGUCGAGAAUCAUUCACAAUGGGGGAAACCCUGAUGGUGCGACGCCGCGUGGGGGAAUGAAGGUCUUCGGAUUGUAAACCCCUGUCAUGUGGGAGCAAAUUAAAAAGAUAGUACCACAAGAGGAAGAGACGGCUAACUCUGUGCCAGCAGCCGCGGUAAUACAGAGGUCUCAAGCGUUGUUCGGAAUCACUGGGCGUAAAGCGUGCGUAGGCUGUUUCGUAAGUCGUGUGUGAAAGGCGCGGGCUCAACCCGCGGACGGCGCAGGAUACUGCGAGACUAGAGUGAUGGAGGGGGAAGCGGAAUUCGCGGUGUAGCAGUGAAAUGCGUAGAUAUCGAGAGGAACACUCGUGGCGAAGGCGGGUUCCUGGACAUUAACUGACGCUGAGGCACGAAGGCCAGGGGAGCGAAAGGGAUUAGAUACCCUUGUAGUC